RNAcentral lists this unclassified non-coding RNA (355 nucleotides) under uncultured bacterium. RNAcentral's name for it is "contains 16S-23S intergenic spacer region". The record is from RNAcentral.
UCCGAGUUGACCCCGGCAGUCUCCUACGAGUCCCCUGCAUUACCCGCUGGCAACAUAGAAUAAGGGUUGCGCUCGUUGCGGGACUUAACCCAACAUCUCACGACACGAGCUGACGACGGCCAUGCACCACCUGGGUUACCCCUCAGUACCACGUGCAUGUCAAGCCGAGGUAAGGUUCUGCGCGUUGCAUCGAAUUAAACCACACGCUCCGCUGCUUGUGCGGGCCCCCGUCAAUUCCUUUGAGUUUUAGCCUUGCGGCCGUAGUCCCCAGGCGGCGGACUUAAUGCGUUAGCUGCGGCGCCGAGGGGGUCGAUACCCCCGACACCUAGUCCGCAUCGUUUACGGCGUGGACUAC